CGGGCGGCAUCUAUACAUGCAGUCGAGCGGACAGAAGGGAGCUUGCUCCCGGAUGUUAGCGGCGGACGGGUGAGUAACACGUGGGUAACCUGCCUGUAAGACUGGGAUAACUCCGGGAAACCGGAGCUAAUACCGGAUAGUUCCUUGAACCGCAUGGUUCAAGGAUGAAAGACGGUUUCGGCUGUCACUUACAGAUGGACCCGCGGCGCAUUAGCUAGUUGGUGAGGUAACGGCUCACCAAGGCGACGAUGCGUAGCCGACCUGAGAGGGUGAUCGGCCACACUGGGACUGAGACACGGCCCAGACUCCUACGGGAGGCAGCAGUAGGGAAUCUUCCGCAAUGGACGAAAGUCUGACGGAGCAACGCCGCGUGAGUGAUGAAGGUUUUCGGAUCGUAAAGCUCUGUUGUUAGGGAAGAACAAGUGCAAGAGUAACUGCUUGCACCUUGACGGUACCUAACCAGAAAGCCACGGCUAACUACGUGCCAGCAGCCGCGGUAAUACGUAGGUGGCAAGCGUUGUCCGGAAUUAUUGGGCGUAAAGGGCUCGCAGGCGGUUUCUUAAGUCUGAUGUGAAAGCCCCCGGCUCAACCGGGGAGGGUCAUUGGAAACUGGGAAACUUGAGUGCAGAAGAGGAGAGUGGAAUUCCACGUGUAGCGGUGAAAUGCGUAGAGAUGUGGAGGAACACCAGUGGCGAAAGCGACUCUCUGGUCUGUAACUGACGCUGAGGAGCGAAAGCGUGGGGAGCGAACAGGAUUAGAUACCCUGGUAGUCCACGCCGUAAACGAUGAGUGCUAAGUGUUAGGGGGUUUCCGCCCCUUAGUGCUGCAGCUAACGCAUUAAGCACUCCGCCUGGGGGAGUACGGUCGCAAGACUGAAACUCAAAGGAAUUGAACGGGGGCCCGCACAAGCGGUGGAGCCAUGUGGAUUAAUUCGAAGCAAC
Molecule: ribosomal RNA, 941 nt
Filed under: Bacillus altitudinis
Lineage: Bacteria; Bacillati; Bacillota; Bacilli; Caryophanales; Bacillaceae
Description: bacterial SSU rRNA
Rfam family: Bacterial small subunit ribosomal RNA
Source: RNAcentral